This 454-nucleotide ribosomal RNA is filed under the name uncultured Acholeplasma sp. RNAcentral describes it as "bacterial SSU rRNA". It matches the Rfam family "Bacterial small subunit ribosomal RNA", at positions 923 to 1382 of the family's 1533-position model. The record is from RNAcentral. Lineage: Bacteria; Bacillati; Mycoplasmatota; Mollicutes; Acholeplasmatales; Acholeplasmataceae.
GCACAAGCGGUGGAUCAUGUUGUUUAAUUCGAUGAUACGCGAAGAACCUUACCAGGUCUUGACAUCCCCCGCGAUGCUCUAGAGAUAAAGCGGAGGUAUUCGGGGAGACAGGUGGUGCAUGGUUGUCGUCAGCUCGUGUCGUGAGAUGUUGGGUUAAGUCCCGCAACGAGCGCAACCCCUAUUGCUAGUUACCAUCAUUAAGUUGGGGACUCUAGCGAGACUGCCAGUGAUAAACUGGAGGAAGGUGGGGAUGACGUCAAAUCAUCAUGCCCCUUAUGACCUGGGCUACAAACGUGAUACAAUGGCUGGAACAAAGGGAUGCGAAGCAGUGAUGUGGAGCGAAACCCAUAAAAACAGUCUCAGUUCGGAUUGAAGUCUACAACUCGACUUCAUGAAGUCGGAAUCGCUAGUAAUCGCGGAUCAGAACGCCGCGGUGAAUACGUUCUCGGGGUUU